Long non-coding RNA from Mustela erminea (ermine), 455 nucleotides. RefSeq lists it as uncharacterized. The record is from RefSeq and is a predicted model, not a curated record. NCBI's taxonomy places the organism in Eukaryota, Metazoa, Chordata, Mammalia, Carnivora, Mustelidae. The transcript has 3 exons.
GUUCUGCAAGAGAGUGUUUGAAUGUCUAUUCUCUUCUACUUGUUACCUUACAAGUAGCUUGAUUCGGUGAUCAGACUCCUCGGCUUCAGCUCUGAAGAUUGGAAGUUCAAGAUCCGGCUGCCAACAUGGUGAAGUUCUGGAGUAGACUAUUUGGAACGGGGGUCGGGGGGAACACCUCCUGGAUCUUUCAGACUGUUUUCAGUCUCUGAAAGUAGAAGUAACAGAGGAGAUAGAAGAACAACAAAUGGUGGAAUGGUGGUGCUUUGAGGAGGCGGGGCACGAGGACUGUCAUGCGGAAGCAGCGAAAUACACUUGCCUUCGUGGUGUGCAGGGGCGACACUCAGCCCAGCAACGACGUGGAAUAUUUCCAGAUUCAAAUCCAGCUGUACAAACUACCACUACAGCAAGCAGUCCUCGCUUACCACCCCCCACCCCCGCCCCGUCCCUGCCCAGCC